UAACGUAUAGUAUAAUGGUAAUACAUAUUUCUACGGAAAAUAUUAUAGUAGUUCGAAUCUACUUACGUUAU
Molecule: transfer RNA, 71 nt
Filed under: Intestinozyma alai
Lineage: Eukaryota; Fungi; Ascomycota; Pichiomycetes; Serinales; Debaryomycetaceae
Description: Candida alai tRNA-Arg
Rfam family: tRNA
About the family: Transfer RNA (tRNA) molecules are approximately 80 nucleotides in length. Their secondary structure includes four short double-helical elements and three loops (D, anti-codon, and T loops).
Source: RNAcentral